GAUCUGGCUCAGGAUGAACGCUAGCUACAGGCUUAACACAUGCAAGUCGAGGGGCAGCAUGAACUUAGCUUGCUAAGUUUGAUGGCGACCGGCGCACGGGUGAGCAACACGUAUCCAACCUUCCGUUUACUCAGGGACAGCCUUUCGAAAGAAAGAUUAAUACCUGAUAGUAUGGUGAGAUUGCAUGAUAACACCAUUAAAGAUUUAUUGGUAAACGAUGGGGAUGCGUUCCAUUAGG
RNAcentral lists this ribosomal RNA (238 nucleotides) under uncultured bacterium. Its description in RNAcentral is "partial 16S ribosomal RNA". It matches the Rfam family "Bacterial small subunit ribosomal RNA", at positions 15 to 245 of the family's 1533-position model. The record is from RNAcentral.